This 252-nucleotide ribosomal RNA is filed under the name uncultured bacterium. RNAcentral describes it as "partial 16S ribosomal RNA". It matches the Rfam family "Bacterial small subunit ribosomal RNA", at positions 524 to 776 of the family's 1533-position model. The record is from RNAcentral.
UACGGAGGAUGCGAGCGUUAUCCGGAUUUAUUGGGUUUAAAGGGUGCGUAGGCGGACGCUUAAGUCAGCGGUAAAAUUGCGGGGCUCAACCUCGUCGAGCCGUUGAAACUGGGUGCCUUGAGUGGGCGAGAAGUACGCGGAAUGCGUGGUGUAGCGGUGAAAUGCAUAGAUAUCACGUAGAACUCCGAUUGCGAAGGCAGCGUACCGGCGCCCUACUGACGCUGAAGCACGAAGGCGUGGGUAUCGAACAGG